This 393-nucleotide ribosomal RNA is filed under the name uncultured bacterium. RNAcentral's name for it is "partial 16S ribosomal RNA". It matches the Rfam family "Bacterial small subunit ribosomal RNA", at positions 523 to 918 of the family's 1533-position model. The record is from RNAcentral.
AUACGGAGGACGCGAGCGUUAUCCGGAUUCAUUGGGUUUAAAGGGUGCGCAGGCGGCCGUGCAAGUCAGCGGUGAAAGCCCGGGGCUCAACCCCGGAAGUGCCGUUGAUACUGCGUGGCUGGAAUGCGGUCGAGGCGGGCGGGACGUGGCGUGUAGCGGGGAAAUGCGUAGAUAUGCCACAGAACGCCGAUAGCGGAGGCAGCUCGCCAGGCCUGCAUUGACGCUCGGGCACGAAAGCGUGGGGAUCGAACAGGAUUAGAUACCCUGGUAGUCCACGCUGUAAACGAUGGGCGCUCGUCGUCGGCGGCAGACAGUCGGCGGCCAAGCGAAAGCGAUAAGCGCCCCACCUGGGGAGUACGGUCGCAAGGCUGAAACUCAAAUGAAUUGACGGGG